Molecule: long non-coding RNA, 1956 nt
Organism: Bolinopsis microptera
Lineage: Eukaryota; Metazoa; Ctenophora; Tentaculata; Lobata; Bolinopsidae
Exons: 4
Source: RefSeq, a predicted model, not a curated record
GUUAGCUGUAAUAUCGAACUCGACAGUAGCUUCCUCUGUCAUGUCGGAGAUCUCAGGAGACGACUGGGUAUUUUGUGUCAAGAAGAGGUUAACCUCCCACUUAACAAGAUAAACAUCAAAUUCAUAGGAGUGCCAAACAGGGACCGUUUAAUCGAGAGGACUUCUCUGAUGACAGAGAUGUGGAAAAGACUACGUCCUUCUCUGGAAAACUACAAGGAUAAAAUACCCACCUUUUUCGGGAAAAAGUCCAUCAUAUGCGAAAGCGAAAGGUAAAUUUUUAGUUUUAAACUAAUUACAACACUACAAAUCUAUUACAUUUAUUGAGGACCCCCAGUGGGAACUAAUGCCUCGGUAAAUGUAACGACCAUUACAGGUUGUAUGUCAAUGUAAAUGGUUGUUGCACGAUAAAGUUAUCUUAAAGACAUCCUAAGGACUAUCAGACAUCGGUUUUUAAAGCAGUUUACUCCCAUCUAUCACCUAAAGAUUAUCAGACAUCACUUAUCCUUAUCCUCCGGAGUGCUACAAAGGAAACUUACUCACGUGCGAAAGACGAACUCUAAGAAUUGGAGAAUAACGGCAGUAGACAGCAGCUAACUUCCCCUGUACUCAACGACAUUGAACAAUAGACAUGAAAUGACUCGCUGACCCCCUACAAAGUACUUGUGCUCGGAGGCAGAAUUUGGCAUCGUUUGGGUCGAGAGAUUUCCAAGGGUAAUGAUACAGUUAAACUGUAUAAAAAUACCUCUCAAAAACAACCUUCUCCUGGUCGGCCAUGUCCCUCAUCCUGCACUUGACCCCUGCAGAGGUCACAAGAACAUCGGAGCACAAAUGAGCGAGAAACGGGGAAGCCUUAGCUUCCGGGUCAAGGACUGCAUCACUAGCACCUACCUAUUGAACUUAUUGAUAGGUUUAAAAGUAGGCAUCUUCACGCAAUCUGCGGACCACCUCCUAGCAGCGAAAUACGGAUAUACCCUCCCUAUUACAUGCGUUCAACCGGCACCCGAACCACACGCUGUUUCUUAGACACAACUUCCCACUUAAAUCAGUGUCCUGUCGCAUCAACUGGCAUCGGCAAGUGGCGACACUGUGUAGACUCAACCCUGAGCUUGAUCAGAAUCUUCAGUCACAAACCUGACACCGUUUCGGGGCUUGCAAUACGGUUUUCUGUCAGGCUCCCAGCAGUUUCUUUUGGACCACCAUCUCAUCUGACAAUCACCCGAGGAUACCUGCCAGAGCUCGCAAUUUACGACGAGUUAGCUUAUGGCACCUCUGGCUGUUAAGUGAAGUCAUAAAGCUCAAACAGCUCUCAUCUCCCAUUCUCUCUUCCUAGACAGCAGACCUGGGAGAAACUCCUUCUAGCCGGACGUCACGCGUGAUGUACGAGAAACUACGGACAGGGUACUCCUACUUGCGUGCGAAAGACAAAGGCAGCAAGAAUCGAAGAACAGAACCCCGACCACACUGCUUGUGAGAAAUGAGCAGCUCUUGAUCUAGGACAAAAAACUUUCUUCUGUUUAAUAUCUAAAACGUGUUACGUGUGAUAUUACACCAACUUUUGAUUAAUAAUACGAAACUUUAUACCUUAUAAAGUAUGAUAUUUAAACACGAAAAUUUACAUUCUGAAAUUGGUAUAGUGUUCCUUUAACUGUUCCUUCAACUUUCAUCGUAGCUUUUUUCAAAAUAUUCUUCAGUGCCAUCAACAAACAGAUUUUUUCAUUUGACUGAACUGUGCCAUAUUUGAUAUUGCCUCUGUAUUUUAUAGGGAAAAUUUUUUAAAUCUUGCAAGUUGAUGUAAUUAAGUUUUAAGUUAACGUAUUAUAGAUAUGUUAACACUAGUUUAUGUUUCAGUAUUUAAAUUGUUUCCAUUUAUAGUUUAACCGAUCCCUGUUGUAGAGUUAUCAGAUCUUUACUUAGGAUAAACAAUAUAAUAUGAAGUUCGAUAAUAAUAUUAAUAAA